UCUGUGAACUCAAAAUAUUUCUUCACCAAAAUAUUCAUUCUGAUCUUUACUUGAAAGUCAUGUUUUCUAUCAUCUGGUUUAAUUUUCCGACAAGGUUUUCCAUAAGAGGUUGUACUUUGUGCUUGGUUUGUGGUUUGUGAUGUUAUAGGUAGAAAUUGUUUUCAUACCCACAAAACAACAAACCCUAUCUCCUGCCUUUUCAUUCAUCGAUCAUCUACUUUUUUCCUUCUUUUUGUUUUCAUACCCACAAAACACCAAACCCUAGAGAGAGAUAGAGACAGAGUUUAGAGGCAGGGAAGUGCAAUGGCGAAGGUGAUGUGGUUUGAACCUCCGCACGAGCACCUGCCGCUGCCUAAGCAUCACCACCGGAGUUCCCUGCCACUGCACGAACACCACCGGAGUUCCCAUCCGUUCACCGGAGCACCUCGAUCGUUCGCCUAGAAACGGUGUAUGCAUGAUGAAGCUGCACCGCAUUAUAUUGACAUGAUUGAUCAAACAACGUAUGGGCAUAAGUUUAUAAAAGAGUAGUUUAAUGUAACGCCAUGUAUUGGUUGGCGAAUAGACCUUGGUCAUUCGGCUGUGCAGGCUUACCUAUUGGGGGCAGAGCUUGGAUUUGAUUCUGUUUUCUUUGGGCGAACUGAUUACCUAGAUAGAGCUAAGCGAAAAGGAGAUAAACGUCUUGAAGUUAUCUGGCAGGGCUCCAAGAGUCUUAGUUCAUCUUCACAGAUUUUCGCAGGUGCUUUCCCCGAGAGCUACGAACCUCCACCAGGUGGUUUUUACUAUGAAGUUAACGACGAUUCCCCGAUUGUCCAGGAUGACAUUGACCUGUUUGACUACAAUUUGAAGAACGGGUUAAUGAUUUCGUGGCUGCAGCCUUAUCACAGGCGAACAUUACUCGCAAAAAUCAUGUAAUGUAGACAAUGAGAACAGACUCAAAUAUCAGUAUGCAGAUUCAUGGUUUCGGAAUAUGGACAAGUUUAUUCAUUAUGUCAAUAAAGAUGGCCGAGUCAAUGCUCUCUAUUCAACGCCAUCUAUAUACACCGAUGCUAAACAUGCUGAGACUGACUCGUGGCCUCUCAAAGAAGACGACUAUUUUCCAUAUGCAAGCGGUAUAGAUGUCUACUGGACUGGAUACUUUACUAGCAGGGCAGGUCUAAAGUGCUAUGUCAGAAUGUUGAGUGGCUAUUAUCUGUCAGCAAGACAAUUGGAAGUAAUGAACGGAAGGAAUAAACGGGCCCACUACAGACUAUUUGGGUGAUGCUUUGGUGAUUGCCCAGCAUCACGAUUGUGUUAGUGGUACUUCUCAACAACAUGUGGCUAAUGAUUAUGCAAAACGGCUCUCAAUAGGUUAAAGGAGGUACAACUUAAUUCUAUUUUUUUUUUUUUGCAAAUAAUAUUUUGAGUAAAAUGCCAUUUUCGUCUAUGAGGUUUGGCCAUUUUGCGACUUUCGUCCAUUGCGAAAUUGUUAGCGCAUGGGAAGCAUUUGGGUUUUUAGUUAUGUUUUAUUCACGGUUGACAAAAUGGGCCCACGUGGGAAGCAUGGGGACGGUGGUGAAUGGAAGUUUAAGAGCCUCGCAGACGAGUCAACUAGACCACAGUUGAUAAUCUUUAUUUUUCUUUCAAUUUAAAGUUAUAUUUAUUGUUAUUUUGUUGAUUUUUUGAUUGGCAUGAGAGGGAAUUCCAAGUUGCAAAUUUACCAUAUAAGCCGGAUUCCAAAGUGAUGCCAGAGAGUCAUUCAUAUGAGCAUUUGAACGCAUUUUAUGAACAGUUUACGUGUCUUGAUGUCGACUGACUAGAAAUAUAAAUCCAGCCCCCGCCGCAUCGCGGCGGGUUACGCUUCUAGUUUAUAUUAUAAAAAUGUUACGAGUUUACGUGUUUAUAUAUGUACAAGUUUAAGGUUAUGUACAUGUAUUAUGUUACCCAAGUCAGUCCCUUUUUCUGUGAGGAUGACCACAGACCCAUCAUUGUGGCAUAAAAUGAUGUGGCACCAUCCGUGACGGUGAGUUGAGUUCACGGCGUCUCUUCUGUUUUAGUCUACGGACUUCUGUUCAGAGGCGUAUAGAUCGAUCCUAGGAAAAAAGUAAAUAAAGUCUGAUAUCUGGUGAAUGGUCGGUGUGAUUUGCCCACACUCCGUUCUCCAUUCAUGUCUGGAUACAUGGGCUAGCUACCCUGUAUCAACCUCUGUAAUAAAAUGAACCUUCUGGACUUCUGGUUAUCAAGAUUUCUGGGUCGGGAAAUGGAAGAGUGCUCGAGUGUUUGGAAAAGACCGUAGAAAUAAAUGUACUGGAUUAGAUAUCCUAUUUCCAUUAAGUUGUAAACCCUUGUAAUACAUUUAAG
Molecule: long non-coding RNA, 2337 nt
Filed under: Helianthus annuus (common sunflower)
Lineage: Eukaryota; Viridiplantae; Streptophyta; Magnoliopsida; Asterales; Asteraceae
Source: RNAcentral